This 498-nucleotide ribosomal RNA is filed under the name uncultured bacterium. RNAcentral's name for it is "partial 16S ribosomal RNA". It matches the Rfam family "Bacterial small subunit ribosomal RNA", at positions 29 to 523 of the family's 1533-position model. The record is from RNAcentral.
AUUGAACGCUGGCGGCAUGCCUUACACAUGCAAGCCGAACGGUAACGCGGGGCAACCUGGCGACGAGUGGCGAACGGGUGAGUAAUGCAUCGGAACGUGCCCAGUAGUGGGGGAUAGCCUGGCGAAAGCCGGAUUAAUACCGCAUACGACCUACGGGUGAAAGGGGGGGAUCGCAAGACCUCCCGCUAUUGGAGCGGCCGAUGUCAGAUUAGCUAGUUGGUGGGGUAAAAGCCUACCAAGGCGACGACCUGUAGCUGGUCUGAGAGGACGACCAGCCACACUGGGACUGAGCCACGGCCCAGACGCCCACGGGAGGCAGCAGUGGGGAAUUUUGGACAAUGGGCGCAAGCCUGAUCCAGCCAUGCCGGGUGCGGGAAGAAGGCCUUCGGGUUGUAAACCGCUUUUGUCAGGGAAGAAAUCUUCUGAGUUAAUACCUCGGGAGGAUGACGGUACCUGAAGAAUAAGCACCGGCUAACUACGUGCCAGCCGCCGCCGUAA